AUGUUGCGUUAGGGAUUGCAGUGGAAAUCCUUUUGUUUUUUCCUUAAAAAAAAAAACAAAAGAUUGCAACGUAAAGCCCGCCCGAAC
Molecule: small RNA, 87 nt
Filed under: Flavobacterium cauense R2A-7
Lineage: Bacteria; Pseudomonadati; Bacteroidota; Flavobacteriia; Flavobacteriales; Flavobacteriaceae
Description: Flavo-1 RNA
Rfam family: Flavo-1 RNA
Source: RNAcentral